UCACUGUUACAUCAUCUUUUUCUCCUUUAUUCUAAAAUUUUUAUUUCAGAAGAACAAUUCAUCUGAGACUAUCACAAAAAGCAGGAACAACUUUCACCAUCAUGGAACUAAAGAGAAAAAGGUCACCAUCUCAAUUACUGAAUACUAUCCUCUAACCAGUGAAAGGUGUGAUCUGCUUCUCUCUUUUUUAUUACCCAUUCAACUAGAGCUGGAUCAAGGAGAUGUAUCUGUCACAGAAAUACACUCAACAUCAUUAUCACAUUUUUGUUUCUUAUUAUGUGAUGAUGUUACUGAUUGGACUUGAAUAAGAAUAAGCACAACAAUGAAUUGGAAACCUCAAUUCCUAAAAAAAAUUGUUCUGCAUCAAUUGCAGUGAUAUUUGUAAGUAAGAUUGACAAAGAUAGUGAUUACGAAAACUAGACUCACUUCCAACGGCUUAUUUGGUUCGAUCAAUUGGUUCGUAUGAAAAAAGCUAUGAGUUUUUUGAGAUGGAACUUUGGAGCAAGAGUGAUGAUGUAAAAUCGAAGAAUGAUCAACUAUAGCGAUUCAAUUGGUAAAUAUGCGGUUGUCUUCGGUUUGCCGGCGGGAACAUCGAUAAUCUCGACGAUGAGAAAAAUCAAUGAUGAAAUCAAAUAGCAAACAUAACUCCUUUCCUAGUACUAUUGUUUUAUCCAAAAUUUGUUUGGAUUUGAUCGGGAAUAAACG
This 705-nucleotide long non-coding RNA is filed under the name Nicotiana benthamiana. RNAcentral describes it as "long non-coding RNA (NBEN_LNC011020)". Lineage: Eukaryota; Viridiplantae; Streptophyta; Magnoliopsida; Solanales; Solanaceae. The record is from RNAcentral.